This 673-nucleotide ribosomal RNA is filed under the name uncultured eukaryote. RNAcentral describes it as "SSU rRNA". It matches the Rfam family "Eukaryotic small subunit ribosomal RNA", at positions 428 to 1098 of the family's 1831-position model. The record is from RNAcentral.
GCAGGCGCGCAAUUACCCAAUCCUGACACAGGGAGGUAGUGAUAAUAAAUAACAAUACAGGGCUCUUCGAGUCUUGUAAUUGGAAUGAGUACAAUUUAAAUCCCUUAACGAGGAACAAUUGGAGGGCAAGUCUGGUGCCAGCAGCCGCGGUAAUUCCAGCUCCAAUAGCGUAUAUUAAAGUUGUUGCAGUUAAAAAGCUCGUAGUUGGAUUUCUGCUUUGAGCGUCCGGUCCGCUCCUUCGGAGUGUGUUACUAGGAUGGUUGCGGCAUUUUUUGUGAGGACGCCCUUCUGCCAUUCAGUUGGUGGUUGGAUGGACUUGCAUCGUUUACUGUGAAAAAAUUAGAGUGUUUAAAGCAGGCGUUUGCUCAUUGAAUACAUUAGCAUGGAAUAAUAAGAUACGACCUUGGUGGUCUAUUUUGUUGGUUUGCACACCAGGGUAAUGAUUAAUAGGGACAGUUGGGGGUAUUCAUAUUGCAGCGUCAGAGGUGAAAUUCUUGGAUCGCUGCAAGAUGAGCUUAGGCGAAAGCAUUUACCAAGGAUGUUUUCAUUAAUCAAGGACGAAAGUUAAGGGAUCGAAGAUGAUUAGAUACCAUCGUAGUCUUAACCAUAAACUAUGCCGACUCGGGAUUGGCAGUCGUUUUUUUAAUGACCUUGUCAGCACCGUAUGAGAAAU